RNAcentral lists this ribosomal RNA (831 nucleotides) under uncultured archaeon. RNAcentral's name for it is "bacterial SSU rRNA". It matches the Rfam family "Archaeal small subunit ribosomal RNA", at positions 21 to 859 of the family's 1478-position model. The record is from RNAcentral.
GGUUACUGCUAUCGAGGUUCGACUAAGCCAUGCGAGUCGAAUGUAGCAAUACAUGGCGUACUGCUCAGUAACACGUGGACAACCUACCCUUAGGCCUGGGAUAACCCCGGGAAACUGGGAAUAAUACCGGAUAUCUCGCGAAUGCUGGAAUGCGUCGCGAUAGAAAGCCCCGGCGCCUAAGGAUGGGUCUGCGGCCUAUCAGGUAGUAGUGGGUGUAACGUACCUACUAGCCUACGACGGGUACGGGUUGUGAGAGCAAGAGCCCGGAGAUGGAUUCUGAGACACGAAUCCAGGCCCUACGGGGUGCAGCAGGCGCGAAAACUUUACAAUGCUGGAAACAGCGAUAAGGGGACCUCGAGUGCCAGGAUACAAUCCUGGCUGUCGUAAUGCCUAAAAAGCAUUGCAUACAAGGGCCGGGCAAGACCGGUGCCAGCCGCCGCGGUAACACCGGCGGCUCGAGUGGUAACCGCUAUUAUUGGGUCUAAAGGGUCUGUAGCCGGCUGACUAAGUCUCUUGGGAAAUCUGACAGCUAAACUGUCAGGCUUUCAGGAGAUACUGAUCGGCUCGAGACCGGGAGAGGUGAGAGGUACCUCAGGGGUAGGGGUGAAAUCUUGUAAUCCUUGAGGGACCACCAGUGGCGAAGGCGUCUCACCAGAACGGAUCUGACGGCAAGGGACGAAAGCUAGGGGCACGAACCGGAUUAGAUACCCGGGUAGUCCUAGCCGUAAACGAUACUCGCUAGGUGUCGGCCACGGUGCGACCGUGGUCGGUGCCGUAGGGAAGCCGUGAAGCGAGCCACCUGGGAAGUACGGCCGCAAGGCUGAAACUUAA